This 814-nucleotide ribosomal RNA is filed under the name uncultured bacterium. RNAcentral's name for it is "bacterial SSU rRNA". It matches the Rfam family "Bacterial small subunit ribosomal RNA", at positions 561 to 1372 of the family's 1533-position model. The record is from RNAcentral.
GUAAGGGCAUGUAGGCGGUCUGUUAAGUCUGGUGUGAAAGCCCGGGGCUCAACCCCGGAAGUGCAUCAGAUACUGGCCGACUUGAGUAUGGGAGAGGAAAGUGGAAUUCCGAGUGUAGGAGUGAAAUCCGUAGAUAUUCGGAGGAACACCAGUGGCGAAGGCGGCUUUCUGGACCAAUACUGACGCUGAGAUGCGAAAGCGUGGGGAGCGAACAGGAUUAGAUACCCUGGUAGUCCACGCCGUAAACGAUGGGUACUAGAUGUUGCGGGUAAUCACUCCUGCAGUGUCGCAGCUAACGCAUUAAGUACCCCGCCUGGGGAUUACGGCCGCAAGGCUAAAACUCAAAAGAAUUGACGGGGGCCCGCACAAGCGGUGGAGCAUGUGGUUUAAUUCGACGCAACGCGAAGAACCUUACCUGGGCUUGACAUCCCGAUCGUACUCUAUGGAAAGAUAGAGGUCAGCUUGGCUGGAUCGGUGACAGGUGCUGCAUGGCUGUCGUCAGCUCGUGUCGUGAGAUGUUGGGUUAAGUCCCGCAACGAGCGCAACCCUUGUCCUUAGUUGCCAUCAUUAAGUUGGGCACUCUAGGGAAACUGCCGGUGUUAAACCGGAGGAAGGUGGGGAUGACGUCAAGUCCUCAUGGCCCUUAUGCCCAGGGCUACACACGUGCUACAAUGGCCGGUACAAAGGGCAGCGAUACCGCAAGGUGGAGCAAAUCCCAAAAAGCCGGUCUCAGUUCGGAUUGGAGUCUGCAACUCGACUCCAUGAAGUUGGAAUCGCUAGUAAUCGCGUAUCAGCAUGACGCGGUGAAUACGUU